Molecule: long non-coding RNA, 1803 nt
Organism: Oncorhynchus nerka (sockeye salmon)
Lineage: Eukaryota; Metazoa; Chordata; Actinopteri; Salmoniformes; Salmonidae
Exons: 2
Source: RefSeq, a predicted model, not a curated record
CCUCUUUCUCUCCCUCUCUCAUUCUCCCAUCCCUCUUUCUCUCCCUCUCUCAUUCUCCCAUCCCUCUUUCUCUCCCUCUCUCAUUCUCCCAUCCCUCUUUCUCUCCCUCUCUCAUUCUCCCAUCCCUCUUUCUCUCCCUCUCUCAUUCUCCCAUCCCUCUUUUACUCACUCUCUCAUUCUCCCAUCCCUCUUUUACUCACUCUCUCAUUCUCCCAUCCCUCUUUUACUCACUCUCUCAUUCUCCCAUCCCUCUUUUACUCACUCUCUCUAUCCUCUUUCUUUCUCUGUUUAACUAUUUUCUCCUCUCCUUUGCCUUGUUAUCACUGCAGACAAAUAAACUUUAUACACACACACACACAGGCACAUUGAGUUAUUUCUGCAACACACUCUUUUAACAAAAAUACCAACCAAACGCCACCCAAACCAAGCAAUCUGCUGUUAUAUGCAUAACAAAAGGGCCUGACGUAUCCAUAAUUUCAUAUGGACCUUUAGAUCAUUCAAUAUUGACUGGUGAUUGUGUGAAUGGGACAGAUUACUGUUGUAAGACCUGUACACACCCUCUGGAAGAAUCUGAUUGGCAGACAAUGAUCAUGUUCAUUCUAAGGAAUCUAAAUUAAUAUAGUUUCACAUUGUGUCAAUGUUUUUCACUUUCUUCCCAGAAGUUUGCUGUGAUGGGGGGGGGGUCACAGUCCUUUAAAAACCUUGGGUCAUCAAACUUUCUCUGGAAGUGAACAUGAGACCUAAAACAGCUGCCGUUGCUCUAAGUUCUUACUGUUAUUUAUGUCGCUUGGGGUUAGAAGAGCAUCUGCAUCAAACUAUAGACUGAUACCAAAUGUUGUUGGGUUAGUUUGUUAUCUAUUUGAUUUUCUGGGUUUUGCGCACAACUAGAGUUAGAGAAGAUACUCUGCUGCUGUUUUACUGACUCUCUCUCUCACACACACUCACCAUCUCUCUGUGCCAACUAUGUGUGUGUGUGAGAGAGAGGGGGUGGGGGGGGGGUAUUGAAUUUUUCUGUGUGGAAAAUAACCAGGAUUCUGACAGUACAGCGGGAGUACUACAGCCAUAGAGCAGGAAGACGAUCAGUACUCUGUCUCCCUAUUGCAAUCUCUCUAUUGUCUAGAUUUUAUCAAUGUGUGUGUGUGUUGUAGCUGUUGGGUGUGACUAGUAGGACAGUGGAGUUGUGUACGUAUUUUGGCGUCUAGUCUGUAGAAUGACAGGAACACUUCUUAGGUUCCUCCUUCCUGUGAGGUCAGAGGUCAGGAGGAAGUUGAUCAUGUGUCAUAUCUCACCAGACAUUCCUCCAUGUUUGUUUUCUCUGGGAGGCAUCUGGAACUUUCUAUCUAGCCAAAUGAGAAUGUGAAACAAUGUUAUCCCCUCUUCUUCUUUCGCUCUGACCGCGCUGCCCAUUCUGUUACUGAAGACCCCCCCCCCCCCCCCUCGGCCCAGAUAACUGUGUGUGUGUGUGUGGAGGGGGUUAAAGAAGACUGACUAUGGACUCUGCUUCCUGUAUCUGCCACUGGCCACACAAACGCCCAGCCCUCUGAGUCUGUGCCACAUCGCUGUUCUUUCUACAUCUCCGAGGAAGGUCAAGAUGUGUGCUACAAACUAACCUCUUCCAAAGAUACCGAAGAGAAUGCUUGAAUCAGUUUUCCUUUGGGUUCAUUAAAACAGCUCCAGUACCACUGGAUCCCAGCUCAGCUUACUCUCUGGAGAGAGGAACAAUCUUGGUUCAACUCAACCCUGGGCUACAAUAACACUGUAGCAGAAAGCUUACUGAAAUAAAACUGGAGAUUACUACAAUUA